GGUAAACCUAUAAUGGCCUGUCUGAAGAGCAGUCCAAACCUUCAGGUGCUCAAUGCUAACUGGUGGUGGAUCCAAUGUCUUCAACAUUGAAGUCGAAGGCAACAUUGGAGAAGUUAAAUGACUGCUUGACAAUAUUGAUACAGUAUCAUACCAGAACUGGGGAUACCACUUCAUGGAAGAGGCAGAAAGAUGAGAGCUGAAGAGCAACGGAGGAGAGAAGAGGGAGAAGGAUCAGAGCUGAAGAGCAACAGAGGAGAGAAGAGGCAGAAAGAUCAGAGCUGAAGAGCAACAGAGGAGAGAAGAGGCAGAGAGAUCAGAGCUGAAGAGCAACAGAGGAGAGAAGAGGCAGAGAGAUCAGAGCUGAAGAGCAACGGAGGAGAGAAGAGGCAG
Oncorhynchus tshawytscha (Chinook salmon) is the source of this 390-nucleotide long non-coding RNA. Lineage: Eukaryota; Metazoa; Chordata; Actinopteri; Salmoniformes; Salmonidae. The record is from Ensembl.